AACGAACGCUGGCGGCAUGCCUAACACAUGCAAGUCGAACGAGAUCUUCGGGUCUAGUGGCGCACGGGUGCGUAACGCGUGGGAAUCUGCCCUUUGGUUCGGAAUAACAGUUGGAAACGACUGCUAAUACCGGAUGAUGACGAAAGUCCAAAGAUUUAUCGCCAGAGGAUGAGCCCGCGUAGGAUUAGCUAGUUGGUGUGGUAAAGGCGCACCAAGGCGACGAUCCUUAGCUGGUAUGAGAGGAUGAUCAGCCACACUGGGACUGAGACACGGCCCAGACUACUACGUGAGGCAGCAGUGGGGAAUAUUGGACAAUGGGCGAAAGCCUGAUCCAGCAAUGCCGCGUGAGUGAUGAAGGCCUUAGGGUUGUAAAGCUCUUUUACCCGGGAUGAUAAUGACAGUACCGGGAGAAUAAGCUCCGUCUAACUCCGUGCCAGCCGCCGCAGUAA
Molecule: ribosomal RNA, 449 nt
Filed under: uncultured bacterium
Lineage: Bacteria
Description: partial 16S ribosomal RNA
Rfam family: Bacterial small subunit ribosomal RNA
Source: RNAcentral